UAAAGCUCAUUUCAUGAGGUGUUAUAACCCUUUCGUGUAGUGUUGUUUUUUUGUUAUAAUCAUGAUUGAGAUUAAAAAAAAUUAAACAUUUCGAAGCGAGAGGAUGAGGGUGGCUGUGAGGGGUGGUAAAGGAGGCCACUAAAAGGGAUAUAGCACCUACAUGUAAUUUGCCUUAUUUAGAUAUGUACCUACUUCCGCUACCCAUUAAUUUUUCAUUGCGUCAGAAUAAAUAUCUCCCGUUUAAAUAUUUCUUGUCCUUUACCUUUCCUUGGUUUUAGUAAUCGCUAAUGCAUCCAAAUCUUUUUUUAAUCCCCUUGUUUUUCCAGUUUGUACCUCAUAUUUUUCACCUUUUUGUAUUUGAUUGCCAGUUACUUUGCCCUUUUCGCUUGGUGUGUUCCGUAAGUUUUUGAACGUUUUUCUUUUUUUGAGGCAACAAUUACUGGCUGAUGGAUCUAUUUGUACGAUUUCCAUAUAUUGUGUUCUUUUUUAAUGUGCGUUCUUGUGUGUAUACAUAGUUGCUUCUGGCCUGUCCAAAUUGGUAACGUCUCAAAUAAGGGAUGCAUUUAUCAUUGCAUUAUUUUGUAUCCUACUUUUACUCUUAUAUUUUCUUUUUCAGUUUUCGCAAUUUCUGUGUACUGUUUUUGUAUAAAUUUAAAUUUCUUGUUUCAUCUGCUUUGAUAUCAACUUUAUUUGUGCCAUUCUGGUUUCCUUUGUCUUCAAUUUGUAUGGGCUUUAUUUUAUCUUCCGAUUUUUUUAAAUUUCUUCUUUUGGGUGCUACACACACUGCAAAUACCUCCUUCAUUUAAUCUACAAUUUAUCAAACAGUUCCAUAUUGUUUUUGUUGUACUAGAUAAUCUUCGUUUUUUAGCAUACGCCCCUCUUCUGGUGUUUUCCGUUGUAGUAGUUCGGCAGUUAUUUUGGCUAGGUACCCCAAUCAUUUUUUAUCUCGUAAGCUUCUGUACUUUCUAUUUUAUGAUUUCCGAUGUGAUAUAAACGUAUCCAAUUCACCUUUGUUUCCAGCACUUACUUGAUCUCUUUUAAGAAUAUAAUGUUAUUUUUUCUUACAUAUUUUUCGUGUCCUCAAAGUCUUCCUUUUUUUAUUUACGCGUUAUCCUAAUUUUUAUUUUCUUAUUGCAACUCUGUUUCCUUUUGUCUUGUCUUAUUAAUUUGUCUUUUUUUUUGUUUUUUUAUUCCUCAACUCUUUCUUCCAAUUAUCACUUGGGUGUAGCUGGCCUUAAGUAUUACCUUCACCUACUUGCCCAUUUGUCUUAUUGUAAAAUCCUAUCCAAGUUGAGGAGUGUUUUUGUAGAAGGCUUUCUUUAGGACGUUAUUUUGGAUUUUUUUAUACAUCAAAAUUUGAUUUAUUUUUGGCAAUUUCAUGUUUCUUUCACCUAUUUUUGGUACUUAUGCGCAUUAUGAUUGUAUGACUCAUCGUCUUGACCUUUCAGUUUUACCUUUUUCCACUAAAAAGUUUUGUUUCGUUCUGUAUUUCCAUUUUUCCAUAAACGUGGCUCUCAAUUUUUGUUUGGUAUGUCAUGAAGGACCUGGGUACCGUCACUAUGUAUUCGUCGGUGGGGCCAAAGGAAAGUAGAUUAGGGACUUGAUGUAUUUAUCGGUGGGGUCAGACGAAAGUGGUGCGUAGGGACGCGAUGUAUCCGAUGGUGCAGCCAAGGAAAGGGUCGAGAUGUAUACGUCUAUGGAGCUAAAACAAAGUGGCGGGUUAGCACGCAUUAUACCUGUCGGUAGGGCCAAUCGAAUAUGGAGGUUCGGACACAAUGUAUUCGUAGAUGGGAUUUAUGUAUUCAUUAAUGGAGCCAAGGAGGUUAGGGACGCGGUGUAUUCAUUGGUGGGAUUAAGAAAAGUUGAGGAUAAGGACGCGAUGGUUUCGUUGAUGAGACCAAAGGAAAGUUUAGGACGGGGACGCGUUAUAUUCGUUUUUGGGCCCAUAUUAAAGUUUAGAGUAGGGACACGAUGUAUCCAUUGCCUUGUGCAAAAUAAAGUGGAGGGAAGGGACACGAUGUGUUCGUCGAUGGGGCCAUGAAGUAUCGCCAACCCCGUUGAAUAACGCGGAUGGUUCCACUGAGUUAUUGCCGUUAUUGGAGGUGACUCACCUUUUAACGUGAAAUACCUAUCCUUCAUAGUAUUUUCGAGCGUAUCCAGCCACUGUUCUCCACUGUACCGACUAUCCUGUUAUUAGCCGCCACCCAUCCAUAACUGUAGUGAUAAGUCUAAAGGGUUCCAGAACAGCUAAUUCUGAAGUUACUUCGCAAAGUGAGACCGCUUUACACCCGAUUUGUUCCCCGCAAUCUUUGAAGAGAUUGUCGAUAUCAGCCAACGGUUCUGCAGUGCAUCGUACCUCCCUGAUGAAGCUUCCCAGGCUAGGCCGGAAUUAAUAAGGCUAAGGAUAUCAGAAGGGCAGCCUUAUAAAGGUAGGAUUUUUUCUCUUUUGCAUGGUGUAUUGCAUGUCAUAUUUUGUGUAAAGGGGGGAAAAGUGACUAGUGCAUAUGGUGACUAAAAAGAAGAUCGUCAACUGUAUUGAGCUAACCGAGAAAGUAGUAAGUGAGUUGUGACUAUCUUCUCAAUCUAUCAUCUUGGCGAUGUAAGAUUACCGCAAUGAUUCUUUAAGUACCUAGUCCCUUUCGAAGUCUGCGUCAGUUUUCGUUAUAUUAACAAGCGAUUAUGUAUUCAUAGCCACAGUAAUGAUAAGACGUAAACUGACUGGUCGACGAACGAGACUAUGGAGAAGUAUUGUAGUCAAUUCUUUCGUUUCCAAGUGCCAUGGAUUUGAUGAUUGUUAUACCUCAUUUAUUAUUACAUGAAGAUCGGCUUAAUAGUUUUUAAAAAGAGGGUGAGUAGUUGACUUAAUAAAUAGUAUGUUCGUUUAUUGUUACUGGUCUGUGAUGCCAUAAGAUCAUAUUACAGUUAUUUAAUAAACGAGCCCACUCUUACAAUAAAUUAUUACAUUGUGUGUUUACAUUGUUUUACUAAUUUCAUUGGUUAUUCGCAGGGCCAAGUGAUCGGUCUACUCCCAGUAUCAGUUCUACACAAGCAACUCCGGUAGUGGAUCUUGAUUCAAGAUUAUCGUCAUCCCUGUUGAAUAAUUGUAUGGAUAUUGAAUACGAGAGAGAUUCGAGAAGGGCAGCUAUAUAAAGGUAGGAUUUUUCUUUUAUUAAUUUUAAGCAGUGGGGGAAAAGUGAAUAGUGUCUGGAGAUAUUUUCAACUGAUCGUACAUCGUAAGUAAAGUUUAGUUGUCUUCUUAUCUUGGUGACAUAAGAUUGAUUGCAAUGAUUCUUCAAAGGUAUCUUUGGCGGAAUCAAUCAAUUUGCAUCAUAUUAAUUUGUAGAAGUAUGAAUUCAUAAUUGUACUUUUUUUUAUGAAGCAAAACGAUUGUCUUUGCGAACAAACCUGUGCAGACACAUUGGAAUCAUGUCUUCCGUUCCCAAGUUGAGUGAUAGUCAACGCCCAAUUCUUAAAUCAAUUAUUUUCGUUUUUUCUUAUGAAUAUGCAUUAUGCACCUAAUACAUUUUCCUUACAGCACACCAUUUUGGAAGCAGUUCGUUUGACAGGGGUUUCCAAGGCGUAUGUCAGGGGGAACCUUAGUUAGAAGUAGUACUGUUGUAAAUUAA
This is a long non-coding RNA of Photinus pyralis (common eastern firefly), 3626 nucleotides long. RefSeq lists it as uncharacterized. The transcript has 5 exons. Lineage: Eukaryota; Metazoa; Arthropoda; Insecta; Coleoptera; Lampyridae. The record is from RefSeq and is a predicted model, not a curated record.